Molecule: ribosomal RNA, 253 nt
Filed under: uncultured bacterium
Lineage: Bacteria
Description: partial 16S ribosomal RNA
Rfam family: Bacterial small subunit ribosomal RNA
Source: RNAcentral
UACGAAGGGGGCUAGCGUUGCUCGGAAUCACUGGGCGUAAAGCGCACGUAGGCGGAUUGCUAAGUCAGGGGUGAAAUCCUGGAGCUCAACUCCAGAACCGCCUUUGAUACUGGCGACCUUGAGUCCGGGAGAGGUGAGUGGAACUGCGAGUGUAGAGGUGAAAUUCGUAGAUAUUCGCAAGAACACCAGUGGCGAAGGCGGCUCACUGGCCCGGUACUGACGCUGAGGUGCGAAAGCGUGGGGAGCAAACAGG